RNAcentral lists this ribosomal RNA (191 nucleotides) under uncultured bacterium. Its description in RNAcentral is "partial 16S ribosomal RNA". It matches the Rfam family "Bacterial small subunit ribosomal RNA", at positions 524 to 709 of the family's 1533-position model. The record is from RNAcentral.
UACGGAGGGUGCGAGCGUUAAUCGGAAUUACUGGGCGUAAAGCGCACGCAGGCGGUUUGUUAAGCAAGAUGUGAAGACCCCGGGCUCAACCUGGGAACUGCAUUUUGAACUGGCAGACUAGGAGUCUUGGAGAGGGGGGGUGGAAUUCCAGGGUGUAGCGGUUGAAAUGCGUAGAAGAUCUGGAGGAACAU